Long non-coding RNA from Corticium candelabrum, 998 nucleotides. RefSeq lists it as uncharacterized. The transcript has 3 exons. Lineage: Eukaryota; Metazoa; Porifera; Homoscleromorpha; Homosclerophorida; Plakinidae. The record is from RefSeq and is a predicted model, not a curated record.
UAUGGAUAAUGUGUGUUAGAUACCCACGUAGGUGGGUUUAUGUAAAAAUAUAUGUAUUUCUAAAUAUAUGUAUAUAUAUGUAGUAACUAUUGCAGAAGAACUCGUUUUUUAAUUAAUCAUGUACUCUGCUGUUACUGCAAUUAAUUUGUUUUACAUAAGAAAUGUAUGGCAAACAGGCAGGAUUACAGGAAGCUGUUGAUCUGCGCCAUGGACAGUCUGUUGCAAAAGAACACAGUUUUUCAUUAGCCUAAAAUAGAAGCAAUCCAUGAUCCAUUUAACAAUAAAAUUAGAACACACACAAUGAAGAUGCUUAUUUCUCUAGUGGGUGCACAGUUUUCUGAACAUAAAACAGGAAUAACUUGUUCUGAACACUCAUUCUGAAAACUCUAACUGCAAUCUGUUCCUCUCUAUAGAUCAAGGAAUAUGAACAAUCCAGGACAUUUGUUGUUGUGAAUUCAGUUAAUAUGUAGUGGUGAGCUAAUAUUUAGUGGUGGAAGUUUUGAUUGAUGUCUACAGUCAAUGUUAUUAAUUAAAUUUAUAUAGUAAAUGUCGAUUGAUUAUUGCAGUUAAUAUUUAUUGAUUUAAUACAUUUCAUAUUUUCUUUGAUUAAUUAACACAGUCAAUAUUGUAAAUAGAGUCAACGUAACUUCUUUAUUCUGGUUGUUGCAGAUUCUAGAUGAGUAACCUGGAUAACUUCCAUUAUUGCACCUGCCAGAAGACGAAUUACAUGUGUGGUUUAGGCAUAAGUCACCUAUGUUUUGAUUAGUUAACAUUUCUGGAUCUCGAUAAGUUCAUCUUUCGAGAUUCUCCAGAGUUACACAGAAAGUGCCUUUUCUUCAGGGAGCUGCCGUGACCAAUUUUCUGAAGAAAUGAGUGCAACUAAAUUAUUUGCAGGAUCUUUUGGGAGACCAGCCAUGCUGAAAGUGAUUUCUGAAUAGAUUUGCAUACAUGAUGAUGGUGGGUGUAUCUAUUUAUAUCUAUAAUGCUCACUUGAGUGA